RNAcentral lists this ribosomal RNA (321 nucleotides) under Methylobacterium sp. MB2.3. RNAcentral describes it as "bacterial SSU rRNA". It matches the Rfam family "Bacterial small subunit ribosomal RNA", at positions 1008 to 1329 of the family's 1533-position model. The record is from RNAcentral. Lineage: Bacteria; Pseudomonadati; Pseudomonadota; Alphaproteobacteria; Hyphomicrobiales; Methylobacteriaceae.
CUGGGAUCCUCUUCGGAGGCGUGCACACAGGUGCUGCAUGGCUGUCGUCAGCUCGUGUCGUGAGAUGUUGGGUUAAGUCCCGCAACGAGCGCAACCCACGUCCUUAGUUGCCAUCAUUCAGUUGGGCACUCUAGGGAGACUGCCGGUGAUAAGCCGCGAGGAAGGUGUGGAUGACGUCAAGUCCUCAUGGCCCUUACGGGAUGGGCUACACACGUGCUACAAUGGCGGUGACAGUGGGACGCAAAGCCGCGAGGUGGAGCAAAUCCCCAAAAACCGUCUCAGUUCGGAUUGCACUCUGCAACUUUGGGUGCAAAAAGGCGG